CUUCACCGAGCCCAGCCGCAGCGGACGGUCGUGCGCGCGCCCCUGCCCGUAGGUGGCCAGCAGCGCCUGCGCCUC
RNAcentral lists this antisense RNA (75 nucleotides) under Murinocardiopsis flavida. Its description in RNAcentral is "Nocardiopsis sp. 14-Be-013 ASpks TB sRNA". It matches the Rfam family "ASpks TB sRNA". Lineage: Bacteria; Bacillati; Actinomycetota; Actinomycetes; Streptosporangiales; Nocardiopsidaceae. The record is from Rfam by way of RNAcentral.